GUGUUUGUUUUGGCAGCACAUAUACUAAAAUUGGAACGAUGCAGAGAUUAUCAUAGCCCCUGCGCAAGGGUGACAUGCAAAUUCACUAAUUGUUCCAUAUUUUU
Talpa occidentalis (Iberian mole) is the source of this 104-nucleotide small nuclear RNA. The record is from RefSeq and is a predicted model, not a curated record. NCBI's taxonomy places the organism in Eukaryota, Metazoa, Chordata, Mammalia, Eulipotyphla, Talpidae.